Molecule: ribosomal RNA, 490 nt
Filed under: uncultured bacterium
Lineage: Bacteria
Description: partial 16S ribosomal RNA
Rfam family: Bacterial small subunit ribosomal RNA
Source: RNAcentral
GAUGAACGCUAGCUACAGGCUUAACACAUGCAAGUCGAGGGGAAACGCUGAGAGAGCUUGCUCUCUUAGGCGUCGACCGGCGCACGGGUGAGUAACGCGUAUCCAACCUACCCAUUACAGGGGGAUAACCUUGCGAAAGUAAGACUAAUACCCCAUGGCAUUUUAUGGUGGCAUCAUUAUAGGAUUAAAGAUUUAUUGGUAAUGGAUGGGGAUGCGUCUGAUUAGCUUGUUGGCGGGGUAACGGCCCACCAAGGCAACGAUCAGUAGGGGUUCUGAGAGGGAGGUCCCCCACAUUGGAACUGAGACACCGACCAAACGCCUAGGGGAGGCAGCAGUGAGUGAUAUGGGGCAAUGGGCGAGAGCUUGAGCCAGCCAAGUAGCGUGCAGGAUGACGGGCCUAGGGGUUGUAAACUGCUUUUAUAGGGGAAUAAAGUGAGCUACGUGUAGUUUAUUGCAUGUACCCUAUGAAUAAGGACCGGCUAAUUCCGUG